UGGGGCGUCGCCAAGCGGUAAGGCAGCGGGCUUUGGACCCGCGAUUCGGGGGUUCGAAUCCUCCCGCCCCAG
RNAcentral lists this transfer RNA (72 nucleotides) under Acidobacteriota bacterium. RNAcentral describes it as "Acidobacteria bacterium (anaerobic digester metagenome) tRNA-Gln". It matches the Rfam family "tRNA". Rfam says of the family: Transfer RNA (tRNA) molecules are approximately 80 nucleotides in length. The record is from RNAcentral. Lineage: Bacteria; Pseudomonadati; Acidobacteriota. RNAcentral also lists the same sequence under 1 other name.